CAACACUCGACUGAUCAGUUUUGUUAUCAUCCGCCGUAUGAGAGCCAUUGGCAUUUUGAACACUUGUGUCACAGCAGCCCAGACUUUACCUCGCAUCGAAACGUGGUGUUACUCAAUAUGACUCACAUUAUGAGUCAUGAGUCUGCAAGUGCCGGAUGGAUGGAGGAGGCAGAGAUGCUGGAGGCGCUGCUGCUGGAGAGUCCUGCGGAGAUCCAUGUAGUCUUGCCACAUGUCAACUGCAGGGAUGCUUCUCGCGCUUGGUCAGAGAGGAGGACUGCAUCAUGUCUGGUUUGAGUCAGUGGGGCGGGGCUGCAGUCCAUAUGCAGAGGGAGGACACAUGGGCCCGGAGUCUUUCCUCAUUAUAUAAAAUCUUCUCACCUUUCCCCUGUUUUAUGGUGUAUGUGGGAGUUUCUCUCUCUUGCGCACCACCCUUUUGUGCUAUUUGUUUGCCGGCAUUUGU
Long non-coding RNA from Onychostoma macrolepis, 460 nucleotides. RefSeq lists it as uncharacterized. The record is from RefSeq and is a predicted model, not a curated record. The transcript is spliced from 3 exons. Lineage: Eukaryota; Metazoa; Chordata; Actinopteri; Cypriniformes; Cyprinidae.